RNAcentral lists this ribosomal RNA (253 nucleotides) under uncultured bacterium. RNAcentral's name for it is "partial 16S ribosomal RNA". It matches the Rfam family "Bacterial small subunit ribosomal RNA", at positions 524 to 776 of the family's 1533-position model. The record is from RNAcentral.
UACAGAGGGUGCAAGCGUUAAUCGGAAUUACUGGGCGUAAAGCGUGCGUAGACGGUUAUUUAAGUCGGGUGUGAAAGCCCCGGGCUCAACCUGGGAAUUGCAUUCGAGACUGAAUAGCUAGGGUGCGGUAGAGGGAAGCGGAAUUUCCGGUGUAGCGGUGAAAUGCGUAGAUAUUCGGAAGAACACCAGUGGCGAAGGCGACUCACUGGACAUGUAUUGACGCUGAGGUACGAAAGCGUGGGGAGCAAACAGG